UACGGGGGGAGCAAGCGUUGUUCGGAUUUACUGGGCGUAAAGGGCGCGUAGGCGGCCACCGCAAGUCGACUGUGAAAUCUCCGGGCUUAACUCGGAAAGGUCAGCCGAUACUGCGGGGCUAGAGUGCAGAAGGGGCAACUGGAAUUCUCGGUGUAGCGGUGAAAUGCGUAGAUAUCGAGAGGAACACCUGCGGCGAAGGCGGGUCUCUGGGCAGUAACUGACGCUGAGGAGCGAAAGCGUGGGGAGCGAACAGG
Molecule: ribosomal RNA, 254 nt
Filed under: uncultured bacterium
Lineage: Bacteria
Description: partial 16S ribosomal RNA
Rfam family: Bacterial small subunit ribosomal RNA
Source: RNAcentral